RNAcentral lists this ribosomal RNA (244 nucleotides) under uncultured bacterium. RNAcentral describes it as "partial 16S ribosomal RNA". It matches the Rfam family "Bacterial small subunit ribosomal RNA", at positions 90 to 334 of the family's 1533-position model. The record is from RNAcentral.
CGUGAGCGGCGGACGGGUGAGUAACGCGUGGGUAACCUGCCUCAUACAGGGGGAUAACAGUUGGAAACGGCUGCUAAUACCGCAUAAGCGCACAGUACCGCAUGGUACGGUGUGAAAAACUCCGGUGGUAUGAGAUGGACCCGCGUCUGAUUAGGUAGUUGGUGGGGUAACGGCCUACCAAGCCGACGAUCAGUAGCCGACCUGAGAGGGUGACCGGCCACAUUGGGACUGAGACACGGCCCAA